GUGUCAGCCGCCGCGGUAAUACGGAGGGUGCAAGCGUUGUUCGGAAUUACUGGGCGUAAAGGGGGUGUAGGCGGCCAGGUAAGUCGGAUGUGAAAGCCCUCGGCUUAACCGAGGAAGUGCAUUCGAAACUGCUUGGCUUGAGUAUGGGAGAGGAAGGUGGAAUUCCCGGUGUAGCGGUGACAUGCGCAGAUAUCGGGAGGAACACCGGUGGCGAAGGCGGCCUUCUGGCCCAAUACUGACGCUGAGACCCGAAAGCGUGGGGAGCAAACAGGAUUAGAUACCCUGGUAGUCCACGCCGUAAACGUUGGGUACUAGGUGUGGGAGGUUAAUACCUUCUGUGCCGCAGCUAACGCAUUAAGUACCCCGCCUGGGGAGUACGGCCGCAAGGUUAAAACUCAAAGGAAUUGGCGGGG
Molecule: ribosomal RNA, 413 nt
Filed under: uncultured prokaryote
Description: bacterial SSU rRNA
Rfam family: Bacterial small subunit ribosomal RNA
Source: RNAcentral